CUCAAAUGUGCGUUUUAGGUGAGAUCAAGCAUAGUAGCCGUUCAUAUCAGUUUAAUAUCUGAUAGUGGUCCAUCAGGCCACAUAAUAUUAGAAUAACUUACUGUGGGGGAUGGCCCAUCACAGUAGCUUGCUGCUAGGGCCACCGCAUGUGGCCCAUGCUUUCCACUACUGCAAGGGCCUGGUGCGCUCCU
Magnolia sinica is the source of this 191-nucleotide small nuclear RNA. RefSeq annotates it as U2 spliceosomal RNA. The transcript has a single exon. The record is from RefSeq and is a predicted model, not a curated record. Lineage: Eukaryota; Viridiplantae; Streptophyta; Magnoliopsida; Magnoliales; Magnoliaceae.